This 254-nucleotide ribosomal RNA is filed under the name uncultured bacterium. RNAcentral's name for it is "partial 16S ribosomal RNA". It matches the Rfam family "Bacterial small subunit ribosomal RNA", at positions 524 to 776 of the family's 1533-position model. The record is from RNAcentral.
CACGUAGGGGGCAAGCGUUGUCCGGAUUUAUUGGGCGUAAAGAGCUCGUAGGCGGUGUGUCACGUCGGCCGUGAAAACCUGCAGCUUAACUGUGGGCGUGCGGUCGAUACGGGCAUCACUGGAGUUCGGCAGGGGAGACUGGAAUUCCUGGUGUAGCGGUGAAAUGCGUAGAUAUCAUUUGGAACGCCAAUGGUGAAAACAGGUAGCUGGGGCUGUGCUGACACUGAGACACGAAAGCCAGGGGAGCAAACGGG